CCAAACCGACACAGGUGGUCAGGUAGAGAAUACCAAGGCGCUUGAGAGAACUUGGGUGAAGGAACUAGGCAAAAUGGUACCGUAACUUCGGGAGAAGGUACGCUGCCGACGGUGAUAGGAUUUACUCCUUGAGCUAUUGGCAGCCACAGAAACCAGGCCCCUGCAACUGUUUAUUAAAAACAUAGCACUCUGCAAACACGAAAGUGGACGUAUAGG
RNAcentral lists this ribosomal RNA (216 nucleotides) under Heterosigma akashiwo. RNAcentral describes it as "partial Bacterial large subunit ribosomal RNA". It matches the Rfam family "Bacterial large subunit ribosomal RNA", at positions 1649 to 1849 of the family's 2925-position model. The record is from RNAcentral. Lineage: Eukaryota; Raphidophyceae; Chattonellales; Chattonellaceae.